UACGUAGGGUGCAAGCGUUAAUCGGAAUUACUGGGCGUAAAGCGUACGCAGGCGGCUUUGCAAGACAGGUGUGAAAUCCCCGGGCCUAACCUGGGAACUGCAUUUGUGACUGCAUAGCUAGAGUUUGUCAGAGGGGGGUGGAAUUCCACGUGUAGCAGUGAAAUGCGUAGAGAUGCGGAGGAACACCGAUGGCGAAGGCAGCCCCCUGGGCCAACACUGACGCUCAGGCACGAAAGCGUGGGGAGCAAACAGG
RNAcentral lists this ribosomal RNA (253 nucleotides) under uncultured bacterium. Its description in RNAcentral is "partial 16S ribosomal RNA". It matches the Rfam family "Bacterial small subunit ribosomal RNA", at positions 524 to 776 of the family's 1533-position model. The record is from RNAcentral.